This 68-nucleotide transfer RNA is filed under the name Didesmococcus koreanus. Its description in RNAcentral is "tRNA-Asp". The record is from RNAcentral. Lineage: Eukaryota; Metazoa; Arthropoda; Insecta; Hemiptera; Coccidae.
AAUAAAUUAGUUAAUAAAAAAUAUAAAUAACAUUAAUUUGUCAAAUUAAAAUAAAUUCUUAUUUAUUA